RNA transcript from Cottoperca gobio, 2727 nucleotides. It is a transcript of the gene named transcription factor E2F6-like, with no coding region annotated. The transcript has 10 exons. The record is from RefSeq and is a predicted model, not a curated record. NCBI's taxonomy places the organism in Eukaryota, Metazoa, Chordata, Actinopteri, Perciformes, Bovichtidae.
ACAACUUAACGCGACGUAAACAAACCGCGCACGUGCACCAUAGUUCCGGAUCUUAACGGUUGUUUCGGUGCGGGCGGAGGAGACACGCUUAGCAUGGUGAAGUGUUCCGUCUCUGGGUGUCCGAGCAGCAUGGUGACCGGUAACCGGGGGUCUUUAAUCGACCACGGAAGAGGUUCUUCAACUUCUCCAGAAACCCGGCUCGGGUCAAGGUACGGACUAACACAACUAACCCGGGCUAAAAUGAAUGUAACCCGGAUGUUUUCUUCUCUUUCUACCGUAGCGAUGCUAACCACCACUGGUUGUCGGCGUGUGUUAGCCUAGCAUCGGUCCCACAGUCCCGGAUGUUUCCCUUAGAAAAGUGUGAGCGGCGCGUUAAUGGAGGUUAGUUAAAGAGCUUACGACACGCUGUCCGUUCGUGUUAGUGGGCCUAUGAUGGAGGUUGCAUUUUAUUGUGAAAUGUGCCACAUAUAUAUCUUUUAUUACUGAUGUAUUUUUAAUAAAUCACGAUUUUAACCGCAUAAAAAAGUUGUCUGCUAUCAACAGUCGGUCGCCGCGCCGGAAACAGCCUCUUCGGUGAUGUCCGAUGAUGACGUCAUGAAUGGAACACAGCCGCCAUUGUUUGUCUGCGUUGAAGCGUCCAGCAAAGACUGCUGUCAUUUAUUAUGAUAAAGAAUGGACAACAAUAGAUCGCCAAGAAUAAUUGGCAAGCGAUGUGUUGUGUGGGGAUGUGGGGCCGUCUCCAAAUCUGGCUAUGGGAUGUUUCUGUGGCCAAAAGAUGAUCAAAUAUCGCGUUUAUGGACAAGACAAGUGCGUCGAACGAGAGCACACUUUGCUGGACCAGGAAAACCGGGGUCGAUGAAGCCGACGAUUUGUGGGCAGCACUUUGAGAGGUCGUGUUUCGAACAAUCCACUAUGCUCGCCAAGGAAAUGGGAUUCAAGAAGAACUUUAAACUGAACGCAGAUGCUGUGCCGACAAUACUGCCGAGACCCCCGCCGAGUCCUCCCCCAAAGAGAAGACGCAAUGCAUUCCCCAAAAGGGAGCGAGCGAAGGUGUGGCUGACAGCGCUGAGGGAGCAGCAGCAGGACGCCACAGAGCAGCAGUUCGCCUGUGAAGACCACUUCCUGCCAGAGGACAUCUCCACCAACAGGGUCAACGGGGACGCCAGUCCCAUCGUGCCCCUCUACCUGGACGGGCUGCUGGGCCCGGUCAGCCCCCGGGGAGCCGAGUCCUCCAAGGAAGAGGAAGAAGAAGAAAGUGGAGGUGAUGCUCCUCCUGCAGCAGAUCCACCACAGCAGAAUCCAGGUGGAGGUUUGGAGAAUCUUCCAGAGGCCGAGCGGACCAGAUGUGAUGUUGCAGCAGGUUUUGUGUCCCUCCCCAGUGCUUCGCUGCGACAGAGGAAACGACCGAACACCCGAAGACGAGGUGAGCGUGGACGAGGACGUGUUCUUCAGCGGCAAAAAGAGUCUCUGGGGCGGCUGACUCAGCGCUUCCUGGAGCUGCUGCUGGCGACUCCGGACGGCGCUCUGGACCUCAGGGACGUGGCGGUGAGCCUGCAGACGCAAAAGCGGCGAGUGUACGAAAUCACACACGUCCUGAGCAGCCUCAACCUCCUUCAGAAGGAUUCCACCAACUGGGUCAAGUGGAUAGGGAAGAGUCCCAUCUCCAGCUUCCUAUGCAACAACCAGCGGACGCUCCGGGGCGAGCUGGACGCCCUGAAGCGGAUGGAGGCGGCGCUGGACGGCCUCAUCACGCGUUGCGCCCGGCAGCUCUUCCACAUGACGGACAACGUGGAGAACGCUUCGUCGGCCUACGUGACCCACGAGGACAUCAGGCGCCUCCGGGACGUCCAGCAGCAGACACUGAUCAUCGUCAAAGCUCCGGAGGAAACGCAGCUGGAGAUUCCUGAACCGCAAGAGGACAUUAUCCAGGUCCAUCUGAAGGCGGGGGAGGCCAUCUCGGUGCUGACCUGUGAGAUGGGUUCUGAGCCCGGCUUCUUUUUAACCCUGGAGGAGAGCCGGGUCAGGACGACUGCGCUGCACAGCGAGGCUUCAUGUCCACAUGGUGGCGUGCAGAGAACGUAGCAGCCAGCAGGAGGCGCCAACACAAACCUGGAAUGGAAACAUCGAGGGGCGUCUGCAGGUUGCUGGUUUAAAUCCCUGAAUGUGAUGCAGAGAUGAGAACAUGAGAAAUGCAGACACGAUUAUCUUGUAUGAAGUAGCAAUAAUAAUAAUAAUCAUAAUAAUAAUAACUAUUAAUGUGCUUAUAAAUGGGAAGUGCUUCUGUCAAAUGUUUCAAUUUCCAAUAAUUUCCCAUAAAAUAAACUUUUUGCACUUUUAUUCUAGGGAAUUAGAAUGUAAACACAUUAUUAUCUUUAUUGUUGUUUGUAAAAAGUGAUCUUUGUCUACAUAAAAUGUGAUUUACAGUAUAUUAAUAAAAAGAGUAUACAGAUUAAUUUACUGGCUUUCAGUUCUUUCAAGGAAAAUAUUAUUAAUAAUGAUAAAUAAAUAUGCAAUGUAAUAGAACUAUCUGGGUACAUUUGUGUUGAACCUUUUAACAACUCUUUUUUAAUUUAUUUUUAAAGUGUUAAGACAGAGGGGAAACGUAAUAUCUUGAAAAUAUUCUUAGUUUCGUUUAUUUUUUCCUCAGUAUUUGUGUUGCUGCCACGUUUACAUUUUGAAUACAUUUUCUAGUAAAGAUGUCUGUUUUUAAUAAAUACACAAACUGUU